ACACUUACCUUGUAGGGGAGAUUCCAUGAUCACAAGGGUGGUUUUCCCAGGGUGAGGCUUAUCCAUUGCACUCUGGAUAUGCUGACCCAAGCAAUUUCCCCAAAUAUAGGAAAAUUGACUAUGUAAUUUGUGGAAGUGGGGAACUGCAUUCACACUUUCCCCUA
This 164-nucleotide small nuclear RNA is filed under the name Castor canadensis (American beaver). RNAcentral's name for it is "U1 spliceosomal RNA (ENSCCNG00000003713.1)". It matches the Rfam family "U1 spliceosomal RNA". Rfam says of the family: U1 is a small nuclear RNA (snRNA) component of the spliceosome (involved in pre-mRNA splicing). Its 5' end forms complementary base pairs with the 5' splice junction, thus defining the 5' donor site of an intron. Lineage: Eukaryota; Metazoa; Chordata; Mammalia; Rodentia; Castoridae. The record is from Rfam by way of RNAcentral.